CUCUCUUACCUCACCCUCACUCUCAUUCUCUUCACUCACCGACCCACCCUCAUCCUCACUCUCAUCAUGUGGUGGUUGUUGCUUGUCAUGGAGGAGUACGGAUCUCGUGGUGGUUGCUGUUUGUCACGGAGGAGCGUGAGAUUGUUAGAUCGGAGAGAGAUAUGAUGAUCGGAGGAGCUCUUGGUCGUGUUGAGGUCAGGCGAAGCCCAGAGAUUUGAGUUGGUCCUAGAACUCAUCUUUGAAGCAGUUGGGACCCUUGUUGGCAUUGUUGUUCUACUCCUACAGAUAAUACACGAUCUUCACCAAAUAAUCUCAAUAACACAUGAAGGAUUUCAGCAAGUUGUGCUGGUCCUAAAACUCAUUGGUAAAGUAGUUGGGUCCCGUGUCAGCCUUGUUGUUCUACUCCUACGGUUGAUACGUAUAUGCAGAAGGAUUUGGUCCAUUUUGACUGAAAGACAACCUGUUGUUGUUGCGAAUGACCACCGGAACGAUGUCCCACUUGCUGAUAUUAACUAUGGCCAGAAUGAUAUCCCACCUACUGAUGCUGAAGCUGAUGCUACCAAUGGGCAAAACGAUGUAAUUGUGAAUGAGGAAGUGAACAUCUGAACUCACCGAUUUCAAGAAACCUGUCUAUGUUCAUGUACUACCACUUUCACCACCUCCACCGUUCAUAAUAUGCUGUCUUUGUUCUUCCUGGUAGCUUUAUUAUGUGUAACAAAAUAAACCAAAUGUUUUUGGGUUUUAAUGCUUUCUUUUCAGACUUUAAUACUUGAGCUUUCUUUUCAGACUUUACUGUAAUCAAAGUGUCCUGUUAUGCUUU
This is a long non-coding RNA of Quercus lobata, 820 nucleotides long. RefSeq lists it as uncharacterized. The record is from RefSeq and is a predicted model, not a curated record. NCBI's taxonomy places the organism in Eukaryota, Viridiplantae, Streptophyta, Magnoliopsida, Fagales, Fagaceae. The transcript has 3 exons.